AGUUCGCUUGAAUAUUUUCCAAAAAAGAUAUGCCAGGUUGGGUUGUAUUUCCAAUAUUACUCAUUGGCUUGGUAUGCGGUAACAAAGGCGAUUCUCAUUGUAUAAAUUGCUCUUUAGCCGAGUGUGUAAUCAAUGCGACGGGAUACAACUCUGACGCGGAAGGCGGGGCGAAUGUUAUAAAUGUUGCAGGAGCUGAUAAUAUCUCAAAUAAGUUCUCUGAAUGCAUACCCAAUGAAUACAGCAUAAAUGGUUCUUUAAUGAAUUACGUUUGUUUUUGGUCACCAAACUUCGGAUGCCAAGCAAUUGUCGCUAUCAAAAUCUUAAAAUUACCCUACAUAAAAGAGGGGAUUUGCACACAAUGCUUUCUUGAAUGUCCUUGUACUUGGGUAUAUUCGACAUCCAUAAGUAUCGAUUGCCAUUUCAGACUGAUAAUGAGCUUUGCUGCUGUCGGGACUUU
Drosophila novamexicana is the source of this 457-nucleotide long non-coding RNA. RefSeq lists it as uncharacterized. The transcript is spliced from 3 exons. The record is from RefSeq and is a predicted model, not a curated record. NCBI's taxonomy places the organism in Eukaryota, Metazoa, Arthropoda, Insecta, Diptera, Drosophilidae.